This 208-nucleotide unclassified non-coding RNA is filed under the name Hevea brasiliensis (rubber tree). The record is from RNAcentral. Lineage: Eukaryota; Viridiplantae; Streptophyta; Magnoliopsida; Malpighiales; Euphorbiaceae.
GGAAAAGUAAAAAGAGGUGGAGAAGCAUUCAAGGUUUUACAAAAGUUUAAGAAGGCACAGAUGUAGCGAGAGAUAAGAAAAUUUUUGGAGAAGAAGGCUGUUCUUCUGUCAAGGAAAAAGACAAACUCUACGCAAGCAGAACAGAUAGAGAUCGUCACAACAACCCAAUAUUACGUUCCAAACAUGUGACAUGCACCUACCCAAGUCC